This 1857-nucleotide long non-coding RNA is filed under the name Marmota monax (woodchuck). Lineage: Eukaryota; Metazoa; Chordata; Mammalia; Rodentia; Sciuridae. The record is from RNAcentral.
GGCAGUCGGCCCCAGACAGGACGGGGAGCGCACCGCGCUCCUGGCCACUCGGAAGGGGCAGGAAACUGGUGCCUGGCCUCAGGUUUCUGGACCUGGCGGCAGCACCCCCUCCAGAGUGUCGCAGCGCGGCUCUGCGGGGACCAAGCCGCGGCACUUUUAAAGGUGGUGUCUGUGUUGGGUUGAGUACUUCAGCAGGGUUUUGCUUAGAAAAUCCCCUACUGGUGAAUACUUAUCCCUCCCCCAAAGGAUCAGCCUUGCUAAUUCCAAGGCAGAAACACUGGUGGACGGUCCUUGCUCGUGGUGGUGCGGAGCAAUACACGUACAGCAGAACCAUGCUUUGACUCUGCGCUCCGGGUCUUCUCCUGGGCAGCAAUACCUAGUACCCUCCUGUGCGCUGGACGCUAAGUGAGCUGCCCCUCCCGGCAGCCUCUGGACCACCAGAGAAGCAGCGGAGGACACUCGAUGCUUUUUCAAUCUCGGAUAUAUUCAGCUCACCCUGGGCUUAUUGGGCACAGUCCUGCCCCGUGUCCAGGGGCUUCUGCAGUCACAGCAGAAGCAGCCUUUCUCACCAGCCUUGCCCCCACCCCUCCUCACUGAAGGUCCUAGUGGGGAGGGGCCUUGCUGAGGGGAGUAGGGGAAAGAGCAGCGCCGUCAGAAAUAGCCUCCAUAAGCUGGCUGCACCAGAGCUGGGGAAGGGACCUCCGGGCAGUGCGGGCUUCUGCCUCCCAUCAGGCGCAGGCGCAUGGCCUUCCAGAGGGGUCGCGAAACCAGAGGUCUUCAGAAGCAUCUAACAGAGAACCCGGCAGGUCAUCUCCUGUCCUGCCCCUGCCCACCUGUCCUCUGCCCCCGCCCACCUUGACAGUAGGCUAUUGAAGUGGAACUCUUUGGCUUUUAGGACAUUCCUCAUCAGCGGGGUAAACUUUUUGUACAUCUAUUGAGCACCUGCAUUUCAUUUUGAUGGUGAACAAACCUCAGUAGCUGGUGGGGAGCAGAAGCUCGAUUGGCCAAGGAUGCUGGGGCCAGUUGCAGGUGAGCGGCGAUAUUGACAACAAGGGCUGACGAACAGACAGGUCUGAGCACUUGCUUAGGUGUCGGGCCCUGUGUGGGAGAGCUCGCUGACCGUGCACCAAGGGAGCAUGACACAGCAUCCUGACCUUCUUGGGUACCAUGGUCAGCCAGGGACUUCAGGUGACCGAUGGUGUCCCAAACAGUUUUCUCCAGUGGCAGCGGUCAAGCAUGCCAGGUUUCCUGGGUUCAACUCCACUUGGUACUAGACCUAAGGUUACAGGCAGGAGGCGUGGAGGACGGGUGGAGUUGAGUCCCACUCACCUGUGGAGGGCUGAGGUCCCUGAGAGAGGGUCAGUUUAAGAACCACCAUGGAGUCCUGGUCUGGUGGAGGCACUGCUGUACACAUGGGGUGGGAGGAACCUAUCUGGCUGAAUAUCAGGGAAGCAGGAACCUCUGCAGGUGUCUGGCAGAAGGAUCAGCACAGGUGACAGGUCCUUAGAGUCCUGCAGUGAGCUCCUGGGGAGGAGGCCAGGAGGUGCCCCGUCCCCUGCUGAGCCAGGAAUGUGAACCCAGGGAGAGGCUCUUUGGAGCUCAGAGGCUGGGAAUUUCAGGAAGCCACUGCCUGGUGAUGCAGAGCCCUGGGUGGGUGGUUUGUACCAAGUGCCUGGAAGCCUCUACACGAGUGCCAUGGUGCCUGUGUGCCUGCUCACGCCUGCUGCUGGGAGGGCACUGUCUGCACUUCUGCCUUCCAAGUUCGACUGGAGUGCCUCUCGUUGGAUCUCUGGGUGUCAGGGAGGCUGGAGGGUGGGUGCCAGUCACCAGCAGGCAGCGUGCAGCACUCUUCUGGGG